GACGAACGCUGGCGGCGCGCUUAACACAUGCAAGUCGAGCGAGAACCAGGCCUUCGGGUCUGGGGACGAGCGGCGAACGGGUGAGUAACACGUGGGUAAUCUGCCCUCGAUUCUGGGAUAGCCCGGGAACCGGACUUAAUACCGGAUAGCCUCUCGAGCUUUCGGGUCGUCGCGAGAAAAGGUAAGCUUCGGCCUCCGAUCGAGGAU
This 207-nucleotide ribosomal RNA is filed under the name uncultured bacterium. Its description in RNAcentral is "partial 16S ribosomal RNA". It matches the Rfam family "Bacterial small subunit ribosomal RNA", at positions 28 to 226 of the family's 1533-position model. The record is from RNAcentral.